This 71-nucleotide transfer RNA is filed under the name Loxodonta africana (African savanna elephant). It matches the Rfam family "tRNA". From Rfam's summary of the family: Transfer RNA (tRNA) molecules are approximately 80 nucleotides in length. Lineage: Eukaryota; Metazoa; Chordata; Mammalia; Proboscidea; Elephantidae. The record is from Rfam by way of RNAcentral.
ACAGUGGUGGUUCAGUGGUAGAAUUCUCGCCUUCUAUGUGGGAGACCUGGGUUUGAUUCCCGGCCAACGCA